CACAUCCUAUCGGGCCAGUCGCGGGAGCGAUCGGCGCUCCAGCGGCAAAAAUCGGCCGAUCCUCCCCGUCAGAAGCCGAUGUCAUGCCGAGCGGCGAGUGGUGUGCGAAGAGAACCGGGAGAGAGAACGACGAGGAGGAGAGACUGGAGAGACUGCGCGGUGGCGGUGAUGUCCCCGCACUUAGUUUUUCUUUUUGUAUUGGCUGCGUUGCGCAUGCGCAGCGGUUACUUCGAGCACGCUUCUCCCAACGAAGUUUCUCGUUUCCCGGCUGCCGGUACGAACUUCGUUGUUUGCCAAGUUACGACUUCGUCGUGUUCACAGGUAAGAAGCCGCUAAAGUGUGCUUCUGUGGUUAACUGUAACGUGUUGUGUUAGUAGAAGACUUCUUGCGGCGUUUGACAGAGUACAUGCAGCGCCGUACAUUCAAAUUGUCAUGCCCUCGCUAUCGUGCAACCGUCGCCGAUUUCCGAAGACAAAGUAAACGCAAAACGCUUAUUUGCAGAAGUGUGCAUAGUUGCAAGUGGUGCAAGUGUGUUUGGUUGGUUUGCUCCGCUGUCACGGUUGUGUAAGCGUUCGGGGAUUAGAAUCGGUCUCUUAAAUUAGAUUGCUGUCUGUCUGAUGUAUCAGUGCGUCCGCUCUUGUGGGAAGGCACUUUGCUGUCGGCUCGCGCGGCGCGUGUCUCCUAUGCGUCGCCAGUCGUGCUUCUAUUUUCCAAUUCGCAGGUGCACCGGUGAUGUGACCGAAUUAAGCAACGUCGCACUGCAAGAGGUACAGGAACGUACAAAAGGAGGUCAGGGAGUUGUUGCAACAAAUUGAAGAUGGCCAGGGCAUUUUUUUAAUCUCAUUUCCAGCAUUCGUGAAGAAAGUGGUGUAUACUAUAAAUUAUAUAUAUUAUAUAUGGAAUAUACUAUAAACACUCAUAUAUCUAAGUAUAUAAAUAAGGUGCCUUAGACCCGGUCCUCUUUAAUUUUACAGUGUAAUAAAUGUGUUGCUAAGGGCUAAACGACACUCGUUGAACACCCAGUAUGUGGUCUCCUUCCUCUCCCGCAGGUUGACUUUCUGGCAUGCAUUGGACGAGCACCACUACCUUCUUCAGUUAUCCCAUCAUGAAAUGCUUGUUGACCAAUGACCUUGCCUUAAAAUACAGCCUCAGGGGUCUGCAGAAGAAAAAGGUUUUCCAGGAAAUCUCCCUACGUGGAUGUGUUGUGGAGGCAGCGAAACGGUGGUGCAGCUCUGCUACCGAAGGCGAAAUUGGACGACGCAUAGGAAAGUUAGCUGCCCGGAAUGGCGCAAGGGGACGGACGAUUGAUAGUCAGAUACCAAGUACACAAAUCUUGGAGGAGCACUGUCAAGCAUGCGUGCUGUUUUGUAAUAUUUUGUACCUGCAAUACGUUGACCUUUAUGUCUGUGAUGCUUUAAAACAUAGUAUUAAACAGUGAUACUGA
Long non-coding RNA from Ornithodoros turicata, 1444 nucleotides. RefSeq lists it as uncharacterized. The transcript is spliced from 2 exons. The record is from RefSeq and is a predicted model, not a curated record. Lineage: Eukaryota; Metazoa; Arthropoda; Arachnida; Ixodida; Argasidae.